CCUACGGGCGGCAGCAGUGGGGAAUAUUGGACAAUGGGGGGAACCCUGAUCCGGCCAUGCCGCGUGUGUGAAGAAGGCCCUCGGGUUGUAAAGCACUUUCAGUGAGGAAGAACGCCUGGUGGUUAAUACCCAUCAGGAAAGACAUCACUCACAGAAGAAGCACCGGCUAACUCCGUGCCAGCAGCCGCGGUAAUACGGAGGGUGCGAGCGUUAAUCGGAAUUACUGGGCGUAAAGCGCGCGUAGGUGGCUUGAUAAGCCGGUUGUGAAAGCCCCGGGCUCAACCUGGGAACGGCAUCCGGAACUGUCAAGCUAGAGUGCAGGAGAGGAAGGUAGAAUUCCCGGUGUAGCGGUGAAAUGCGUAGAGAUCGGGAGGAAUACCAGUGGCGAAGGCGGCCUUCUGGACUGACACUGACACUGAGGUGCGAAAGCGUGGGUAGCAAACAGGAUUAGAUACCCGGGUAGUC
Molecule: ribosomal RNA, 465 nt
Filed under: Vreelandella stevensii
Lineage: Bacteria; Pseudomonadati; Pseudomonadota; Gammaproteobacteria; Oceanospirillales; Halomonadaceae
Description: partial 16S ribosomal RNA
Rfam family: Bacterial small subunit ribosomal RNA
Source: RNAcentral